RNAcentral lists this ribosomal RNA (292 nucleotides) under uncultured bacterium. RNAcentral's name for it is "partial 16S ribosomal RNA". RNAcentral also lists the same sequence under 1 other name. The record is from RNAcentral.
GGACUACACGGGUAUCUAAUCCUGUUUGCUACCCACGCUUUCGUGUCACAGUGUCAGUUCAGGCCCAGACGGUUGCCUUCGCCAUCGGUAUUCCUCCCGAUCUCUACGCAUUUCACCGCUACACCGGGAAUUCUGCCGUCCUCUACCGAACUCGAGCUGCGCAGUAUCGAAUGCCAUUCCCGGGUUGAGCCCAGGGAUUUCACAUCCGACUUAUGCAGCCACCUACACACGCUUUACGCCCAGUAAAUCCGAUUAACGCUCGCACCCUCUGUAUUACCGCGGCGGCUGGCAC